CUACGUGCCAGCAGCCGCGGUAAUACGGAAGGUUCGGGCGUUAUCCGGAUUUAUUGGGUUUAAAGGGAGCGUAGGCUGGAGAUUAAGUGUGUUGUGAAAUGUAGACGCUCAACGUCUGAAUUGCAGCGCAUACUGGUUUCCUUGAGUACGCACAACGUUGGCGGAAUUCGUCGUGUAGCGGUGAAAUGCUUAGAUAUGACGAAGAACUCCGAUUGCGAAGGCAGCUGACGGGAGCGCAACUGACGCUUAAGCUCGAAGGUGCGGGUAUCAAACAGGAUUAGAUACCCUGGUAGUCCGCACAGUAAACGAUGGAUGCCCGCUGUUGGUACCUGGUAUCAGCGGCUAAGCGAAAGCAUUAAGCAUCCCACCUGGGGAGUACGCCGGCAACGGUGAAACUCAAAGGAAUUGACGGGGGCCCGCACAAGCGGAGGAACAUGUGGUUUAAUUCGAUGAUACGCGAGGAACCUUACCCGGGCUUGAAUUGCAGAGGAAGGAUUUAGAGAUA
This 505-nucleotide ribosomal RNA is filed under the name uncultured bacterium. RNAcentral's name for it is "bacterial SSU rRNA". It matches the Rfam family "Bacterial small subunit ribosomal RNA", at positions 501 to 1008 of the family's 1533-position model. The record is from RNAcentral.